RNAcentral lists this ribosomal RNA (237 nucleotides) under uncultured bacterium. RNAcentral's name for it is "partial 16S ribosomal RNA". It matches the Rfam family "Bacterial small subunit ribosomal RNA", at positions 15 to 235 of the family's 1533-position model. The record is from RNAcentral.
GAUCCUGGCUCAGGAUGAACGCUGGCGGCGUGCCUAACACAUGCAAGUCGAACGGAGUUAUUUUGGAAAUCUCUUCGGAGAUGGAAUCUUUAACUUAGUGGCGGACGGGUGAGUAACGCGUGAGCAAUCUGCCUUUAAGAGGGGGACAACAGUUGGAAACGACUGCUAAUACCGCAUGACGCAUAGAGGUCGCAUGAUCUUUAUGCCAAAGAUUUAUCGCUUCAAGAUGGCCUCGCG